Molecule: ribosomal RNA, 495 nt
Filed under: uncultured bacterium
Lineage: Bacteria
Description: partial 16S ribosomal RNA
Rfam family: Bacterial small subunit ribosomal RNA
Source: RNAcentral
GACGAACGCUGGCGGCGUGCCUAAUACAUGCAAGUAGAACGCUGAAGGAGGAGCUUGCUUCUCUGGAUGAGUUGCGAACGGGUGAGUAACGCGUAGGUAACCUGCCUGGUAGCGGGGGAUAACUAUUGGAAACGAUAGCUAAUACCGCAUAAUAGUAGAUGUUGCAUGACAUUUGCUUAAAAGGUGCAAUUGCAUCACUACCAGAUGGACCUGCGUUGUAUUAGCUAGUUGGUGAGGUAACGGCUCACCAAGGCAACGAUACAUAGCCGACCUGAGAGGGUGAUCGGCCACACUGGGACUGAGACACGGCCCAGACUCCUACGGGAGGCAGCAGUAGGGAAUCUUCGGCAAUGGACGGAAGUCUGACCGAGCAACGCCGCGUGAGGGAAGAAGGUUUUCGGAUCGUAAAGCUCUGUUGUAAGAGAAGAACGAGUGUGAGAGUGGAAAGUUCACACUGUGACGGUAUCUUACCAGAAAGGGACGGCUAACUACGUG